GCGCUGUGAGUCUGCGCUGUGUGUCUGCGCUGUGUGUCUGCGCUGUGUGUCUGCGCUGUGUGUCUACCUAGCAACAUUGGUGGGUGAACUUCAGCAUCCUCAAGAAAUGCCUUUUAAAGGGAACUUUUUUUAAAGGAGCCACCCCCUGGUCUAAUACAUCCUUGUGGCAUCCAGUACAUUUGUCUGGGCUUGGCGGGCACACAGGGAAAUGAUGGGGCCCGGUCCUGGACACAAGCCACGAGGAGAAGCCAGGCCUACUCCCCAACGCUGCCUUUCCAUCUGGGAACAAAACCGCUGGAACAUUUUAAUGACGGCUGGCACCUAAUUCUCACCCCGGAGGGCUCAUCAAACCCAACUGAUCUGAAGCAGCAGACAGCGUGGCCCAAAUGUCUGAGAGACAGGCUGUGAACCUCUUCGCUCAAGCACGUAUUCAGACAUUUGAAAAAAACCAAAGCAUCCACCCCCGACGGCCACUCAGCAUGUCCAGGGCUGCGGUUGCCCCUCCGGUCAUCCUGGGCCCCUCAGGCCCAUCACAGGGACACCGAAGUUCCAUGCUCACUGGGAAAGCUGCAGGCAGGCUGGGGAGGAAGGUGGAACAAAGAAAAGAUGUCCUGCACCGGACGACUGUGCACACGGCCAGCAGCUGGGUUCCUCCAGGGAGAUGCACACAUCCAGGAAACCAGAGCGUGUGUGUGUGUGCGCAUGCGUGUUCAAGAUAUCUACACGCAUACGUAUGUGACAUCUCCAUCUGUAUGUGUAUACAUAUUAUAUAUAUCUGCAUAUCUACAGAUACAGGGAUGUACAUUUUCCUAAAUCUGGGAUGGCUGUAGAAAGGUCCGCAGGAGCAUGCCCAUGGAACAUAAGACAGCCCUCUGGCCAGGCCACCAGCAGAUAAGCAUAUGCUCACCGGAGCCAGGGAAGGAAGCUGCACUUUCCGGGACUCCGAAGCAGGCCUCUGGCUGGGCCCACUAGUGAAAAACAGGAGACCCAGAUUCCAAAUCAGCGGGAGGUUUAUACUACGUGGGCCUAGCAUGUGUUGGGGGGAAGACAGUGCAAAUAGCUCUGAGCACCAGCUGCAGCUGAGAACUGUGCAGCCUCUCCCAUCUGCAGCUCUGGCUGCCUCGGCUCCGUGGAACGGUUUCAACAACUCCUUGACAAGGCCAAGUUGAUAUUUAUGUCUCAUCAAACCCACUACACAAAGGAAAUGAAAAAGCAACCGGGAGCCCCUCCAGGAUGCGGGAGGGAGGGAGCUAAUUACUGGGCAAGGAGAGGCGAGGCUCAGAGGGGCCACGCUGAAAGCGCCCUGUCCCUGCGGCGAGGGGACGGGAGCCAGGGGAGUCUGAAGCUACCCGUCCCCUCCACUGGCCAAAACCCAACAGCUCUCGGUGCGUCGAUCCCAAGCGACAAGGCAGCAAAAGCGACUGUGUUCAGGUCCAGACCCGCCCCUCGGUAUCACCCGCCUGAGAUGUACCAUGAGAUGCUAAAGCCAGGCAUGGGGCCUGGGAGAGAUUUCAGAACUGGAUAGCAUCUGAAAAUUAAAUCCGUUAAAUGCUAUGUCUCAAUAUUUACAUGCGAUGUAGCUCACUGAACACCAAGGGCUUAGAGAAAAGAAUAAACGUGGGGGUGGGUGUGCUUGCAAUUCUGCGGAGAACAGUCAGGAGCCCCCAACUGACCCCUGCUCCUUAGGUCUUCAACCACCCCGAGUUAGCACUGCCUGAAAAUGACCACAACUUCCAUCUCGGCCAAGAAGCAGGGAGAGAGGAUAACAGCCCCACAAAGAACAAGAGACGGGGGAGGGUGCUGAACCGAGGGCUGCUGCACUGGGUUGAACAGUGUCCCUCAAAAUGUAUAUCCACCUGAAACC
This is a long non-coding RNA of Cercocebus atys (sooty mangabey), 1864 nucleotides long. RefSeq lists it as uncharacterized. The record is from RefSeq and is a predicted model, not a curated record. The transcript is spliced from 2 exons. Lineage: Eukaryota; Metazoa; Chordata; Mammalia; Primates; Cercopithecidae.